Molecule: ribosomal RNA, 444 nt
Filed under: uncultured bacterium
Lineage: Bacteria
Description: SSU rRNA
Rfam family: Bacterial small subunit ribosomal RNA
Source: RNAcentral
AGAGCGAACGCUGGCGGCAGGCCUAACACAUGCAAGUCGAGCGCCCGUAGCAAUACGGGAGCGGCAGACGGGAUAGUAACACGUGGGAACGCGCCCUUCGGUUCGGAAUAACUCAGGGAAACUUGAGCUAAUACCGGAUACGCCCUUACGGGGAAAGAUUUAUUGCCGAAGGAACGGCCCGCGUCCGAUUAGCUAGUUGGUGAGGUAAUGGCUCACCAAGGCUACGAUCGGUAGCUGGUCUGAGAGGAUGACCAGCAUCACUGGGACUGAGACACGGCCCAGACUCCUACGGGAGGCAGCAGUGGGGAAUAUUGGACAAUGGGCGCAAGCCUGAUCCAGCCAUGCCGCGUGGAUGAUGAAGGCCUUAGGGUUGUAAAGUCCUUUAACGGGAAGAUAAUGACGGUACCGUAGAAUAAGCCCGGCUAACUUCGUGCCAGCAGCCGC